This 468-nucleotide ribosomal RNA is filed under the name uncultured bacterium. RNAcentral describes it as "partial 16S ribosomal RNA". It matches the Rfam family "Bacterial small subunit ribosomal RNA", at positions 28 to 507 of the family's 1533-position model. The record is from RNAcentral.
GACGAACGCUGGCGGCGUGCUUAACACAUGCAAGUCGAACGGAAAGGUCCUGCUUUUGUGGGGUGCUCGAUUGGCGAACGCGUGUGUAUCACGUGAGUAACCUGCCCUUGACUUUGGGAUAACUUCAGGAAACUGGGGCUAAUAUCGGAUAUGAGCUUCUGCUGCACGGUGGGGUUUGGAAAGUUUCGGCGGUUGGGGAUGGACUCGCGGCUCAUCAGCUUGUUGGUGAGGUAGUGGCUUACCAAGGUUUUGACGGGUAGCCGGCCUGAGAGGGUGACCGGCCACAUUGGGACUGAGAUACGGCCCAGAAUCCUACGGGAGGCAGCAGUGGGGAGUAUUGCGCAAUGGGCGGAAGCCUGAUGCAACAACGCCGCGUGCGGGAUGACGGCCUUCGGGUUGUAAACCGCUUUCGCCUGUGACGAAGCGUGAGUGACGGUAAUGGGUAAGGAAGCACCGGCUAACUACGUG